Molecule: ribosomal RNA, 253 nt
Filed under: uncultured bacterium
Lineage: Bacteria
Description: partial 16S ribosomal RNA
Rfam family: Bacterial small subunit ribosomal RNA
Source: RNAcentral
UCCGUAGGGUGCAAUCGUUGUCCGGAUUCACUGGGUGUAAAGGGUGCGCAGGCGGGCUCUUAAGUCAAAGGUGAAAUCUCUCGGCUUAACCGAGAAAUUGCCUUUGAUACUGAGAGCCUUGAGUACGGGAGAGGGAGAUGGAAUUCCAGGUGUAGCGGUGAAAUGCGUAGAUAUCUGGAGGAACACCGGAGGCGAAGGCGGUCUCCUGGCCCGUUACUGACGCUCAGGCACGAAAGCGUGGGGAGCAAACAGG